This 252-nucleotide ribosomal RNA is filed under the name uncultured bacterium. Its description in RNAcentral is "partial 16S ribosomal RNA". It matches the Rfam family "Bacterial small subunit ribosomal RNA", at positions 524 to 776 of the family's 1533-position model. The record is from RNAcentral.
UACAGAGGGUGCAAGCGUUAAUCGGAAUUACUGGGCGUAAAGCGUGCGUAGACGGUUGCGUAAGUCAGAUGUGAAAGCCCCGGGCUCAACCUGGGAAUUGCAUUCGAGACUGCUCUGCUAGGGUGCGGAAGAGGGAAGCGGAAUUUCCGGUGUAGCGGUGAAAUGCGUAGAUAUCGGAAGGAACACCAGUGGCGAAAGCGGCUUCCUGGUCCAGCACCGACGUCAGGCACGAAAGCGUGGGGAGCAAACAGG